GGAGGCCUGUGAUGACCUUUCCUAAUAUUAUGUCUACAUUGUUUGACUUCACUGUGAUAAGGAAUAUAGAGUCUGAGGCCUUC
Molecule: non-coding RNA, 83 nt
Organism: Spinacia oleracea (spinach)
Lineage: Eukaryota; Viridiplantae; Streptophyta; Magnoliopsida; Caryophyllales; Amaranthaceae
Source: Rfam